Molecule: ribosomal RNA, 481 nt
Filed under: uncultured bacterium
Lineage: Bacteria
Description: partial 16S ribosomal RNA
Rfam family: Bacterial small subunit ribosomal RNA
Source: RNAcentral
GACGAACGUUGGCGGCGUGCUUAAUACAUGCAAGUCAACUGAAGCAGUGGUAGCAAUAUCGCUGUGGAGGUGGCGCACGGGUGAGUAACACGUAGGUAAUCUGCCUUCAGGUCUGGCAUAACUCCGGGAAACCGGGGCUAAUAGCAGAUGAUGCAGCGGCUCGACAUCGAGACAGUUGUUAAAGCUAUGGCGCCUGAAGAUGAGCCUGCGUCUGAUCAGCUAGUUGGCGGGGUAACGGCCCACCAAGGCAACGAUCAGUAGCUGGUCUGAGAGGAUGAUCAGCCACACUGGAACUGAGACACGGUCCAGACUCCUACGGGAGGCAGCAGUAAGGAAUAUUGCUCAAUGGGAGAAAUCCUGAAGCAGCAACGCCGCGUGAGGGACGAAGGGCUUUUGCUUGUAAACCUCUGUAGUGAGAGAAAAAAAUCCCAAUCUUUGGGACAUGAUGGUAUCUCAAAAGUAAGCCCCGGCUAACUACGUG